GCUCGCCUAUCGCAGGAAGAAUGUUUGCUGCGCAGGGUACACUGAAGAUGGUGAUACAUAGGCCACGUGACUGUCGCAAGUCAUCUUAUGAGUCAAUCUAUCUGUCCAGACAACUGACUGCUGGACGCUGCGUUACAGUCACAUAACAGCGAUGUAUACGCAGGUUGUAAAUAAAUACAGCUUGACAAACAAUGACUUCGUGAGUUAAUAUAAACCUGCUCCUGAAGAUGUCCGUUAAGCUUUGUACCAUCAUCUAAUCAGAUACAAUAUUUGACUAAAGGUAAAGAACUCAAUAGUCGAUAAAUGUAAGUCGGUUUGUUUCGUCUGUGAUGCUUCGGUUUCUCAAAUUACAUUUCAAAAAUAUUUGAUGUAGUUAGUUUAAUGGCUUCAGUGUCUUUUGUCACUAAAAGUAUUACUCGAGGACAAAGAGUGACAAUUGUUUGAUGGAAUCUAAAGGUGCGUCUAGCGGCUAACGGUCACACAGGUGAGCACUGAUUACAGGUACAAAGACCGACACUACAGCCCAGUGCUUCAUACACUGUGUGAGGUGCAGAGUACUCAGGGCAGCAUCUAUCGAGACUACCAGAAACACCAACCAUUCAAGGUGGUCUUUAAUUCAGUGGAGGUGCUGGACCAUCCCCACCCCACCUACCACCCUAGCUGGACUCACCCACCUGAUGGUCU
Long non-coding RNA from Pomacea canaliculata, 684 nucleotides. RefSeq lists it as uncharacterized. The transcript has 3 exons. The record is from RefSeq and is a predicted model, not a curated record. Lineage: Eukaryota; Metazoa; Mollusca; Gastropoda; Architaenioglossa; Ampullariidae.